CAACAAUUUGGAAAACACAACAUUUUAGAAAAAACAACAAGAAAUUGGAAAAACAACAACAUUUUGUAGAACAUAACAUUUCGGAAAACACAACAACAUUUCGGAAAACACAACAUUUUGGAAAAAACAACAACAAUUUGGAAAAAAACAACAACAUUUUUAAAAACACAACUUCAUUUUGGAAAACAACAAUAUUUUGGAGAAAACAACAACCAUUUGGAAAACACAACAGCAUUUCACAAAACACAACAACAUUUUGGAGUAAACAAUAACAACCUGUUGGAAAACACAACAUUUUGGAAACAACAACAAUUUGAAAAAAACACAACAAUAUUUUGGAGAAAACAACAACAUUUUGGAAAAAAACAACAACAUUUUGGAAAACACAACAAUAUUUUGGAGAAAAAACAACAACAUUUCACAAAACACAACAACAAUACAAUUUCAACAACAUUGACUGUUUUUAUAUAAAAUGUUAUGUUUUCCUAAAUGCUGUUGUGUUUUGACCCUCCGAGCCACCGUACAAACCAGCUGGUCUGGUGAGCGCACAAGAGAAGGUGACGGUGAUGAUGAAAUGUUUGGCGUGUUGAGUCGGGUGUAUUUCAAUAUUUAGACGGUGAGAUUAGCGAGAACGAGCUUUAUUAUCAUUAAUUGCAGACUGAAAGAUAAAUCAGAUAACUGCUCGGCUUUGAACUUGAUGACUUUGCUUUGACUUUUCGUUGGACUGCAUCCUGCGAAGCACAGAGCUGUUUUGAGUCGCCUGCCAAAGUUUGGAUCAUAACACGGCUUUGUGAUUCUCCAGCCGCAACCUGCUGAAUGGCCUCCAGAAAAGGCCCCCGAUUCAUCAUCCCCCUUCAUAAACAGUCAUUAAUGUUUAUGGCAGGUGUCGUGACAUGUUUACGACAGCAUUAUGUCUGCUUUACGAGACCACUGUCAAGUCAGGUUUUACGACUGCGGCACUCGGAGGCGGCGAGGGGACCGCUGGCAGCCCGUCCGCGAGUUUUCUGGACGCUCCUGCUUCACCGACUCCCAGCACCGUCAGCGCUCCGUCUCGGGGAGGAUGUGAUGUCACAGCCUCAUAUCAGCAACAAAAGCGAAGGCUGCUGAAUAGGUUGAUUCAUCUCAUCUCUGGAGAGAGAUUCCUGCCAUGUCUGCUGCACUCCAUCUCUCGUGUCUUUCAUCCCUCUCGUCUCUCCCGCCGCCAUGACAGUGAUUAAUGACCCUCAGCUGCCGUGUGCCUCCUCGCUGACACUCCCAUCUUUCUUUCUCUUCCUCUCUGCGCUCACAAGAAACAAGGAUUAAAGUGGGAGAAUCGGGCCAACAAAAAAAAAAGAAACGAUUGAUGCCACAUGUUGUCAGCGGGGGUAGAAAGGUUGGAAAAUCCCUCUGACAUUGGUCAACAUUUUAGAUUAUUCGUAUAAAGCGUUCAUACCGACUAGACGACCAGACUCAUGUGUCCGAGCUGUGUUGAGACCGUGUGAGGAUCAACAGGUCGGUCUGAUCACGGCAUCACUCCUGAUCCUGUGUGUCGCACAGUAUCAGGAGACGUCAGGAGGGGAAAGGAAAGAAGAGGUCAACAUUUCAUCCAGCCUGAGUUCACUCAGUGAGGACUGCCAAGCUUAUAAAAAUGUUCAAGGAGGUUGGCAGUCAUGAGAUAAGAGUAAAUGGUACAAACGUGUCUUUGCAGUGAACUGUGUGACCUUGUUGUUGAUAGCGGCCAAGCUAGCAGGUUUGCUAACUGAAUUUUAACUUUAACUCUUUUUUGAGGAAACUUGCUACUGGAGAGUUAGCACGCUUUUACAUCUACAACUGAUAGUUAGCACGCCCAUUAGCUUAAAAAUCUUUCUAAAGUGGUCAAAAACAAAAACAAAGAAAUACAAGGAGGUUUAAAUGUAACAGUACAGAGAAAACUAUGAGCUAGUUAGCUAGCGAGCUUGCUACUGGAGAGUUAGCACGCUCGUUAGGAGAGAUUUUCAAAUGUAUCCUUAAUUUAACUAUUUUUUUAAGGAAAUGAUCCAAACUACAAGCCCAAGGAUGCGUAAACAUCAUAGUAGCCUACAGAGAAGCUAGCUAGCUAACAAGCUAGAACUUGCUAAGGACCAGUUAGCAUACUUGUUAGUUUGUAGAGAUUUCUCCUUCUUUGACUCAACUCUUCUUUUAAGGAAAUGAUCCCAACAACAGACACAAGGAGGAAUAAAUGUACGAGAAUCAAACAUAUAUUCAUUUAUCAAUCAAUUUAUUUAUCUAACAACGUUUACAUCUACAGCUUCAGAAGGUUAUUAAUCUUUCUGAUCAACAAAACAGAUAAAGACAAAAACACUAAAGGGAUUUUUCACGAUCUGGCAACUUAUUAAUGCCUUAUUACACAUAUGUAAAGCCAUAAUAGGUACAACUAAAUAAAACGUAUUAUACCAGGCCCAGUGUAACACUAAGAGGUGAGCCAGUGUUAGCGUCAGUAGCAGCAGGAUGCUAACAGCACGUAGUUACACCUCGUUCUUCAGAGUGACAGUCUUCAUUUGGAUUGUUCCUCCUUCGGUGUCUGAACUGUUCACGCUCAAACGAGAGGCUUCCUCACAGGAUGUGCAGGUGAUGAGAGGCAGAGAAACAUCUCUCACCCGCCGUGUCACUUCCUGUUCCUCUGUCACUCCGUUCCUGCAUUUGUCCCGACGCGUCUCCGUCCACCUGAUGCCCAGGUGUCGGAGCGGAGCGUCUCCUCCUCACUCAGCGUCCUGACAGGUGACAGACAGCCGGCCCACGAGGACGACACACAGCUCUGUUUAUCCGUCUGCUUCUUCCCUUUACAGACGAGCUACAGCUGAAACCAUCCCUCCAAAUAUAUUUAAAAAUGCAACAAAGGGUUGGGAGGUGAUGACUGAAUGAAUCUGCGCCUUACAAAACAGAUUUUUGCAUUUGGCUGAGGUGGAAAAGUUCUGGGAAACUGAGUAUUUUUCCACAUUUCAUUCGUUUUAGAGAAAAGUGAAAGUAAAUUGGUACACAACCUCAAUAUGCAGUAAACAUUAAAUAGAUGGUGUAUGACACAGUUAUUUUCUUUUUCAGAGAUCCUUUCUUGAUUUGCUUGGGAAGAGGAUUCACUCUGGACAGAUCUGUGAAUCCAAACUUCGUACUGAACUGAAUUUUUCUCUUUUGUCGUGGUAUUUCUUUUGAUUUAAGAACUUCCUGCAAAAACCCACAAGGAUAAAGUCAAG
This 3206-nucleotide long non-coding RNA is filed under the name Sparus aurata (gilthead seabream). RNAcentral describes it as "lncRNA (ENSSAUG00010013695.1)". Lineage: Eukaryota; Metazoa; Chordata; Actinopteri; Spariformes; Sparidae. The record is from RNAcentral.